RNAcentral lists this long non-coding RNA (1083 nucleotides) under Struthio camelus australis. Its description in RNAcentral is "lncRNA (ENSSCUG00000013924.1)". Lineage: Eukaryota; Metazoa; Chordata; Aves; Struthioniformes; Struthionidae. The record is from RNAcentral.
AUGCGCGCACGGGCUCCUGGCCCUCAGGGCGCACCCGCGUUAUCUGUGGGCGCGCAGCGAUGGCGUGGGCGCACCUCGGGCACUCAGCGCGCACCCCUGUCGCACGCACAGCCCUCCAGCGCUCAGCUCGCACCCAUGGUGCCACAGCCCUGUGGCACGCACACACCUCGGCCAUCAACACACACCUACAGCACGCACACCCCUCCAGCACUCGGGCUCACCGAUGGCACACACACACACAACACACACAUACACGCACACAUUUACACUCCUCCAGCACUCAGGGGCUCACUGAUGGCACACACACACACACAUACACGCACACACAUACACGCACACAUUUACACUCCUCCAGCACUCAGGGGCUCACUGAUGGCACACACACACACACAUACACGCACACACAUACACGCACACAUUUACACUCCUCCAGCACUCAGGGGCUCACUGAUGGCACACACACACACACAUACACGCACACACAUACACGCACACAUUUACACUCCUCCAGCACUCAGGGGCUCACUGAUGGCACACACACACACACAUACACGCACACACAUACACGCACACAUUUACACUCCUCCAGCACUCAGGGGCUCACUGAUGGCACACACACACACACAUACACGCACACACAUACACGCACACAUUUACACUCCUCCAGCACUCAGGGGCUCACUGAUGGCACACACACACACACAUACACGCACACACAUACACGCACACAUUUACACUCCUCCAGCACUCAGGGGCUCACUGAUGGCACACACACACACACAUACACGCACACACAUACACGCACACAUUUACACUCCUCCAGCACUCAGGGGCUCACUGAUGGCACACACACACACACAUACACGCACACACAUACACGCACACAUUUACACUCCUCCAGCACUCAGGGGCUCACUGAUGGCACACACACACACACAUACACGCACACACAUACACGCACACAUUUACACUCCUCCAGCACUCAGGGGCUCACUGAUGGCACACACACACACAUACACGCGCACAUGCAUAGACACACACACAUAUGCAUAUACACACACACAUACACGCGCACAUGCAUAG